GUAAAUGCAUAAAGGAAAUCUAUGCUACUAUGCCCAUAAUCAUGUAUAAUGAAUGCAUGCAUCAUAUAGUAAAGGUUUACUAUCAUGCUAACGAAUUCAAUCCAUGUUCGAAUAAUAAUGCUCAAUGACAUUGUUCACUGUUCUUUUACCCAAUCUGUAGCGAAGCCCUUGGGUUCGCCAAUAACUCACCUUUCAAUCCCAAAGUGGGGAGGGAACUCCAAGUGCUCCCAAGCCCGGGACCAUCUGCGGACCUCCAUGUGGUCCGGAUGUCACGCCCCGGGACCCAGCAGAAGCCCGCCCGGCACAUGCCCAGACCCGCCAUACGUCUAAAACAUAUAAGGCGUCUAAAAACAACAAUAAUAAAAGCAAUAAUAAAAGAUAUCUAGGAGUAUCAGAGCAUAAUAAAUGUCUAAAUGCUACAACGAGGGAUAAGGAUAAAACUGUAAAUCCACUAAAUAAAACAUAAAGUGAUGCGAGGAAAUCCCAGAUACAAGUGCUAUAGGUAGAUACAUAGGUGGUCUCUAUACUUGGAUACAAAACCUCUCACUCUCUCAACUACAAAAAGAAAGAGUAAACCACCUAGGCAAAGUACCACUCCUCGCUAGCUAGCUAAGCGAUCCCCUUGCCG
This 628-nucleotide long non-coding RNA is filed under the name Ananas comosus (pineapple). RNAcentral describes it as "long non-coding RNA (ACOM_LNC002111)". Lineage: Eukaryota; Viridiplantae; Streptophyta; Magnoliopsida; Poales; Bromeliaceae. The record is from RNAcentral.